GUCAUUGCCAUUUUUGAAAGCCUGAAUUGCAAAUUUACAUGCCAAACAAAACAAGGACGUUUGGAUUCUUCUGGAUAUGAAAAAGUAAAUGAUGAUUCAUACACCGAGAAGCCAUUGGUGUGUAAAGACCAAAGUUACAAGAAACAAACAAUUUGCAGAUAAAAUCUUAGUGGCAUCACAUGAGGAUUCUUUUACAGGAGGGGGAAAACACAUUGGCUUAUUUGGUGGUGAGUUGAGUGAUCUUUAUUCAUGUUACACAUUUAAAAAACGAUAAACUUAUGUACAAACUGGAGAUGACA
RNAcentral lists this unclassified non-coding RNA (299 nucleotides) under Hevea brasiliensis (rubber tree). Lineage: Eukaryota; Viridiplantae; Streptophyta; Magnoliopsida; Malpighiales; Euphorbiaceae. The record is from RNAcentral.